UACAGAGGUCCCGAGCGUUGUUCGGAUUCAUUGGGCGUAAAGGGUGCGUAGGUGGCGCUGUAAGUGGGGUGUGAAAUCCCGGGGCUUAACUCCGAAACUGCAUUCGAUACUGCGGUGCUUGAGGACUGGAGAGGAGACUGGAAUUCAUGGUGUAGCAGUGAAAUGCGUAGAGAUCAUGAGGAAGACCAGUGGCGAAGGCGGGUCUCUGGACAGUUCCUGACACUGAGACACGAAGGCCAGGGGAGCAAACGGG
This 253-nucleotide ribosomal RNA is filed under the name uncultured bacterium. RNAcentral's name for it is "partial 16S ribosomal RNA". It matches the Rfam family "Bacterial small subunit ribosomal RNA", at positions 524 to 776 of the family's 1533-position model. The record is from RNAcentral.